This 298-nucleotide ribosomal RNA is filed under the name uncultured bacterium. RNAcentral's name for it is "partial 16S ribosomal RNA". It matches the Rfam family "Bacterial small subunit ribosomal RNA", at positions 333 to 628 of the family's 1533-position model. The record is from RNAcentral.
AUUUUCCUACGGGACGCAGCAGUGAGGAAUAUUGGUCAAUGGGCGAGAGCCUGAACCAGCCAAGUCGCGUGAAGGAUGACGGCCCUAUGGGUUGUAAACUUCUUUUGUCAGGGAGCAAUUGGGUCCACGCGUGGGCUUAGCGAGAGUACCUGAAGAAAAAGCAUCGGCUAACUCCGUGCCAGCAGCCGCGGUAAUACGGAGGAUGCGAGCGUUAUCCGGAUUUAUUGGGUUUAACGGGUGCGUUGGCGGAAUAUCAAGUCAGCGGUACAAAUUCGGGGCUCAACCCCGUCGUGCCGUU